GGGGUGCACCAGGCGCGAAAACUCCACAAUGUACGGAAGUACGAUGGGGUUAUCUCGAGUGCAGUCCGAUAAGGGCUGCUUUUCCAUAGAGUAAUAUCCUGUGGGAAUAAGAGGGGGGCAAGACUGGUGUCAGCCGCCGCGGUAACACCAGCCCCUCGAGUGGUGGGGACUAUUAUUUGGCCUAAAGCGUCCGUAGCUGGCUGUAUCCGUCCCCCGUUAAAUCCAGCGUCCUAAGCGUUGGACUGCGGGUGAUACCAUACAGCUAGAGGGUGGGAUAGGUGAGCGGUAUUUCUGGGGUAGGGGCGAAAUCCUUUGAUCCCAGGAGGACCACCAGUGGCGAAGGCUGCUCACUAGAACACGCCUGACGGUCAGGGACGAAAGCUGGGGCAGCGAACCGGAUUAGAUACCCGGGUAGUCCCAGCUGUAAACGAUGCUAGCUAGGUGUUGGGUCGGCCACGUGCCGCCCCAGUGCCGCAGGGAAGCCGUUAAGCUAGCCGCCUGGGGAGUACGGCCGCAAGGCUGAAACUUAAAGGAAUUGGCGGGGGAGCAC
This 550-nucleotide ribosomal RNA is filed under the name uncultured archaeon. RNAcentral's name for it is "bacterial SSU rRNA". It matches the Rfam family "Archaeal small subunit ribosomal RNA", at positions 327 to 879 of the family's 1478-position model. The record is from RNAcentral.